GACGAACGCUGGCGGCGUGCCUAAUACAUGCAAGUAGAACGCUGAAGGAGGAGCUUGCUUCUCCGGAUGAGUUGCGAACGGGUGAGUAACGCGUAGGUAACCUGCCUGGUAGCGGGGGAUAACUAUUGGAAACGAUAGCUAAUACCGCAUAAGAGUAGAUGUCGCAUGACAUUUGCUUAAAAGGUGCAACUGCACCACUACCAGAUGGACCUGCGUUGUAUUAGCUAGUUGGUGAGGUAACGGCUCACCAAGGCAACGAUACAUAGCCGACCUGAGAGGGUGAUCGGCCACACUGGGACUGAGACACGGCCCAGACUCCUACGGGAGGCAGCAGUAGGGAAUCUUCGGCAAUGGACGGAAGUCUGACCGAGAAACGCCGAGUGAGUGAAGAAGGUUGUCGGAUCGUAAAGAUCUGUUGUAAGAGAAGAAAGAGUGUGAGAGUGGAAAGUUCCCACUGUGACGGUAUCUUACCAGAAAGGGACGGCUAACUACGUG
RNAcentral lists this ribosomal RNA (495 nucleotides) under uncultured bacterium. RNAcentral describes it as "partial 16S ribosomal RNA". It matches the Rfam family "Bacterial small subunit ribosomal RNA", at positions 28 to 507 of the family's 1533-position model. The record is from RNAcentral.